RNAcentral lists this unclassified non-coding RNA (399 nucleotides) under soil metagenome. RNAcentral's name for it is "partial contains 5.8S ribosomal RNA, internal transcribed spacer 2, and large subunit ribosomal RNA". The stretch from base 1 to 120 matches the Rfam family "5.8S ribosomal RNA", at positions 35 to 154 of the family's 154-position model. The record is from RNAcentral.
GAUGAAGAACGUAGCGAAAUGCGAUACUUGGUGUGAAUUGCAGAAUCCCAUGAACCAUCGAGUCUUUGAACGCAAGUUGCGCCCGAAGCCUCGGCUAAGGGCACGUCUGCCUGGGCGUCACGCAUCGCGUCUCCCCCAAACCGCCAAGGCGGAGGGGAAGGAAGAUGGCUUCCCGUGCCUCACCCGGCGCGGUUGGCCUAAAUUUGGAGCCCGCGGCACUUAGCUCACGCGGCGAUAGGUGGUGAACAAGGCCUUGGCCGUGCAAACAACCCGCUGCGAAGCUCUAUGUCACGUGCGCUCGUCGGACCCUUUGAAGUUGCCUUCGGUGACUUAAAACCUUCGCGACCCCAGGUCAGGCGGGGCUACCCGCUGAAUUUAAGCAUAUCAAUAAGCGGAGGA